CCAGUUUUUUAUGUAGCUGCUCCACGGUGAAGUCUGUGAAGCAGUCCCAAACACCCCCCUAAACAAGGCGUGAAUCCCUUAAAAGGUUCGCUGAAUUCGUAGGUGAAAAACGAAGGUUCACUUGAAAUCGAAGAGCGAGCGAUAUGUAUUUGUUGGCGUACCCCUCACUUUUGCAACCUGCUCAAUGGUUGGCCUUUUUAAGAUUCUCCGUAAUAUCAAAUUUUUACAUAUACAUAAAGUAUUAAAUAUAGAUAAAAAUAAAAAGUAAUUAUACAGUUUAUAUAUAAUUUGUAAGAGAAAUCUUUUAAAUCUAGUUAGUUCACAAUAAUUAUCAAAUAAACAAAAAUACUAUAGUAUCUAAAAUCAAAAGAUUUUACCAACUAAACAAGGCCUGAGGUUGAAAAUGGAUUCGUAGGAAAAAGUUUGAAACUCUUCAUAUUGUAACUAGUGCAAUCUCAUCUGAUUUGCACCAACAACCUUGAGACCUCGUUUGGAAUAAGAGUUAUUUUUUUCUAGAUCUAUUGGCCUUGUCCCUCCGCUGCAAAGUACUUAAGUAAUGCUGAAAAACAUGUCGUUAUGUGUUAUUUAGGUAUAAACAGAGUGCAUCAUUCAAAUUGCAAUACAAUAUGGUAUGAGUUGCAGCGUAGGAGUACACGCUACAUGAAUCCAGUGUUGAGUGUUUGAGACCAGGGUGAGGUUUGAAUUUAGGGCCUAUUUGAUAGAGCUCUUCCCCGGCUCAUUUAGAGGAGCCAACCAAACUUUUUUGCAUGAGAAUGAAAAUUUGGGAAGCUGAAGCCAUUUUGGAAGAGAAAUAAAUUUUGGCUCCUCUAAAAUGGCUCUCACUCCUCCAGAGAAGCCCCUCAGAGACGCACUGCCGUACACCUCCUUAAUCGGGCCAUAGUAUAGCAGGCACGAGAGCAAUUAGAGUUGACCUAGUAUCAAAAGAAACAGAAGCCACUCUUGAACACACAAAAGCAAAAAAAAGAAAUAAAAAGCGAAAUAAGAAUUUAGAAGUAAUUGUAAAACAAAAGAUUAGAAAACAAAGAAAGUUUGAAGCAAUGACACUUCCGAUAGGUCUUAAGAAAACAUAGAACUUUUAUUAAGAGGUUUGAGUGGAUGCUUUUUUUUUAUAGUUUUCCUCUAAAACAGUAGUCAAUAAAAAAUUUUCUACACAAUUUUCUAUACUCCAUGUCUAUGAGCCAAAGACAUGAACAAUACAAAUUCCUAUACGAUUUCAAAUUCAAAUCCUAUGUUUUUCCUCCAUAUUCCCUAUCAACCAAAGGAGAACUAAGUCAAUUAUCUCUAAGUUUAAAUGCUUUUAUAAAAACAAAUAUCAGUAUUUUAUUUCUAAAUAAAUCUAUUGUAAAUAUAUUCUAUGAUUAAUUUAUUAGUAUUUAUUUUGUGUCAUAAAAAUUAAUAUUUACAAUAAUUUUUUGGAUAGAUUUGGGAAUGAGGUUUUUCUGGUGGUGGUGGUGGUGGUGGCGGCUGUGCAAUGGCAGUGGCAGUGCCAAAGAGAAAUAUUGUUCGCUGAUUUGGGAUGAGAGAAAAAAUAUUGUUGAAUGUCUCGUAGAUUCAAUAGAUAAUUUCAAUCAAAUAAACUUCUCAAUCACCACCUAUUCCUCCCCCCUCUCUCUCUCUACCUUUCUUGCAUGGUUGCAGCCUUUUUCUAUUAUUGCUCUCCUUUCUCGCUCCCAGAGAGCUCCAUAGCAUGAUAGCAUAGUCGUCGUAGUCGUCCAUCCCUUGGGUUUAAAUGGCACAUGGGUGUGAUUUAUGUCCAAUCUGGUCCAUCCGGUGAAAAGUGCUGCUGGAUGAUGCAUGUCUCAGUGAAACGCCAGUGGAUUGACCGGUUUUUGUGCAAGAUAUAGCAUAUACUAAAAAGCUGUUGAAACCAACCAACCAUCGCAAAAGAAUAAAGUAACUUUAUCGUUCUGAUGCAUUUCGUGCACUUGUCUGCGCGCGUACAUCACCUAAACUUGCUGUUAGUGCUUUACUUCCAACUAAACUUUAGGUAACUAGGUGAUUAUAAAGUUUCGUCAAUCAUAUACUGUUUGCACACACUAUGUACUCCUCCUAUAAUACAGAUCGAUUCAUCCGUUGGGAUGGUCUAUAGCUAACUGUUCCUACCAGCUUCUUCUUUCAAGGGAAUUGUUUGACCAGGGGAACGAAAGCUAGGUAGCAGCAGUAGUAGCAAGGCUUGAGGCAGGCGUGCAGGGGAAAGGCGAGACACGGAUGUGAUUAGCCGAAACUGCAUGCAGUAUUGUAUGCGGGUGGGGUGGGGGUGCGGCCACGCACGACCGACGAGCGAAGGGAAAGGGAGAGAGAGAGAGGAGAGCACACAGCACGGCAGCACAGUUAAUUCCCCACGGAAAGCUGGGGAUGAUGGGCUGACACCUUGCCAUCAAGAGGUGCCCCUCCCUGACUGAUCAGGAGAUAUGGCGGGGGCGCACCCAGACCCCCAGCAUCCCCCACAUGUGUCUUGAUGGAUGGAUGGAUGGAUGCGUACGUCCUCCUCCCUGAGUGAUAACUAGUGGUAGUAACAUGUAGUAAUAACUAUCCUCCCAAUGGUAGUUAACCACCGAAAACUUCCCAUUCCUUUCUAUUUCAUUUUCAUCAUCAUAUAUUAUAUACCUCUUUCUGUUCUAAAUUGUAAGUUAUUUUAGAUUUUUGUUUUUCAAACAUAAUAAACUCUGCCUCCUCAAAAGUUUCCAUUUCAUUUUCUCAUGAUAUAUUAUACUAUAUUUCUGUUCUAAAUUAUAAGUUAUUUUAUCUAUAUAUUUUUAGUUACUAAAAAUAGAGAUUUUGAUGAAAAAAAACCUCUAACAUUUUUUUUGUUUAGUUAUCCAAAUGUAGUCAUCUUCUAUUAAAAAAACGAGAAUGACUUUUGUAGUGUAAAUAAGAUAUAGAAAAACUCUUGGGAAUGUAAAGAUAUUUAAAGUGAUUUUUAUACGAAUGACUCUCUAAACGAUGAUUUAGAGAGUGUGUUUUAGAAAGACUUUUGGACAUGUCUAGGAUCCUUCUGUUCUGUUUUGCUCUUCCUUAGUUCGUUCAGUCUCUGAAUGAAAGCAGAAUGUUUUUUAUUGAAGAUUGACUGUCCCGUUCUUUCUACUGGUUCUACAUUAUGUAAAUGGAUAUUUCGAUAAAGACUUGUCUCUUCUCUUUCGAAAUCAAGUAGGAGUACAGGGUCAUUUCCACCAAUUGGCUAUGUUUGUGAGCUUGUGCACUCGAUAAGAUUUUAAGAUUCUACCUCAUAAUUAAUACAUUUUCUUACAAAUAGCGAUACUAGGGUUUGUCGCAAGUCAACCACCACAGUGGGCCCGUCAAAAAAGCUUGAGGCUUCCUACGCUAUUUGCAUUGUGUUAUCUCGUCUCAGGCUAGUCUCAAUAUAUAUUUUAUGAGAGUGUCAUACAUAUUAAAUAGUGUGACACGUAAGCAAAAUUGCUAACUUGACAGGGUCAUUAAAUGAAGAAAUUUCAUCAGAUAAGAGAAGACUUUUAUCCUCAUGAAACUCAUUUGGCUCGAUUACCUACUUUAGAGUCUUGGUAACGGUGCCAUAAACUAUGCAUUGAGACUAGAGGCUUUCUUUCAAGACUGAUGCAAAUUAUGGCCUUGUUUAGUUCUAAAAUUUUUUGCAAAAUAGGAAUAGUACUAUUUUCGUUUGUAUUUGACAAAUAUUAUCCAAACAUGUACUAACUAGACUCAAAAGAUUCGUCUCAUCAAUUCCGAUCAAACUGUACAAUUAGUUUUUAUUUUCAUCUAUAUUUAAUACUUCAUGUAUGUAUCUAAAGAUUUGAUGUGACGGAGAAUCUAAAAAAUUUUGCAAAAUUUUCUGGUAACUAAACAAGGCCUAUAAAUGUACCAAGAUGGCAAGCCCAAGCUUAAGACAAAAUUAAACUCGAUCGUGAGCCGAACAACCUUGUCCAUUAAACUAUAACUCUAAGAUAUAGGCAGAUACGACAUGCGUCUAUUAGCAACACGAAAUUAAUUUCAGUCAUCUGUAAAAUUCACACAUGAACAAACUUUACUAAGGCCUUGUUUAGUUGUGAAAAGUUUUUGGAUUUUGACAUUAUAGUAUUUUCAUUUGUUUGUGGCAAAUAUUGUCCAAUCAUAGACUAAUUAGGAUCUAAAGAUUCGUCUUGCGAUUUACAGGCAACUGUUCAAUUAAUUUUUGUUUUCGUCUAUAUUUAGUGUUUCAUGCAUGUGCCACAAGAUUCGAUGUGACGGAGAAUCUUGAAAACUUUUUGAUUUUUUUGUUGAACUAAACAGGGCCUAACGCUAGCUAGCAUGUGGCUUGUAGAGUGCCUCCAGCCCUCCACCUCCAUACAGUUGGAAUUCUAGAGGAUGGAAAUCCUAUUGGAAAUUUUUCUAUCAACCCCUUUGGAACAAAUAAUCUUAUAAAAUUUUUAUAGAAGGCUUAUUUAAGAACUUUGGAGGAAUUCUACAAAAAGUUUUAAACUCAUGGAAAGUUUUUUUUUUCGAAUCGUUCUCUCUCACAUACUCCUAGUUCUCUUGUGUUUUUGCUCCAUCCUAACGUUUAAUCUGCUUACAGUUUCCCGUGAGUUUCUCAAUGCAUGUAUAAGAUUUAAGAUGUUAUGGCAUUAAUAUUCUAUUUCUACAUUUUUCAUACUCAUGUGAUUCUAAACUCAGUCAUUCCGAAGAGGUCCUCAACGGGUGGAGAGGACUCAGUAGAUGCACAGGGUGUUUUUUUUUUGCAUUUUGGCAUUGGUGGAGUCAACUAGUAAGGAUUUGGGCCAAAAUGUCUUAUCGGUACGGCAAAUGAAAAUUCAAAUGUAAUACAUUUAGUAGCUACUUUGAUAUAUCUUCAAAUUAAUUUCAGCUAGUGGAAUGUAGCUAUACCUUUGAAAAGAUAUCGGUCAAAUUGCACCUUAACCAGAGAAAAUAAAUCAAGAACAAGAGGUAAUAUUUUUCCCGGAGGGGGUAUUUCUUUUGAAUAUAAACUAUUCAGCUCUUGCGCUGCACUCCGAUGGAGCCAAUCGAUCGGCAAAUCAAAUCUAUGAAUCUACUAUCUCUGUUUUCUAAAUGUCGCUAUGAUAUUUGUGUUGAUCAAAUUCUCUUAAAUUUAACUAGGUUAUAAAAAAAUAUAACAAUAUUUAUAUCACUAAAUAAGUGUAUUAUAAAAAAAUAUAGUUUUAAUGAUCUAUAAAUAAUUAUUUUUUCUUAUAUAUUUGGUCAACGUUCUCAUGAAGUGAGAACGAGAAGACGAAGGGAGUAUCAGGAAGCAAAAUAGAUCGAUUUUUCAGAAAUUGGGGCUAAAAUUAAGCAUAUCAGAAACAGAUUGCUCGAUGAUACAGUAUGAUGAAUAGCAGGACGAAAGUUAUUCAGACAGACAGAAAAACAUGCCCAGUACGAAAUUGAAUACGCCAUACUCCGUACUUGACGGGUGUACUACUGAACUACUGAUGGAGUGCACACACAUACUACGCGUGCCGCAGGCCCUGUAGCUCGCUAUAUAUGUUCUGAAGCAGCCCAGUGGGGCCCAGCCUUUCUUAUGGCUGCCCAACAAACAUUCACUGAUUUUUUCGUGAAUGCUACAUUGAUGAACAUGAUUUUGGCACAUCUAUGUAUCGAUUUGAAUGCGCUGUCGAAAUACUACAGUGAGGCUAGCUGGAUAGAUAGAUGUGAUGCUGCUAGCUUGUUCAAAAAAUAGCCUUCCAGUACUAUUUUCUUACUCUUCCCCGAGUUCAAAAAAUAACUUCUUUUUUUUUCUCUCAUUUAUUACCACAACUACUCUGUGACUGACUUACUGCGAUUAGUUAAAUCAUAUCAUCGUCGAGCUUUUGAUGGAUGGAUGGAUCGGAAUAGUGUUUGCUUUAACUUAUGGUGUGAGUUCAGUCCCUGCACACACAGAAACAACCCUAUACCUUUCCACAACCUGAACACUGUUAGGAGUGAAUAGACGAUUGAAUGAUCGCUUGAGCUUGAGCAUAACAUUCACAAGCUUUUGUCUAGCUUGCUGGCAUGCAGUAUAAUUUUUGACUACGCACAAGCUAGUCAAGCAUGCAAAGGCCUUCUCACAUCAUGCAUGGGCAGAUAAAACCAAAAGCUAGAUCCAUGAUACUACCUGACUACAUAAAUUAAAGCUACCUAUCUCUAUCUCUGCUGUCUAAUCACCAGAUUUCUUUGUAUAUAUAUCUUUUUUUUCCCACAUCAUCGAUCGCAUCCUCAGAACACCGAGACGUACCCCAGCAUACAUGUUCGUGUUAUCAACAUGCAUGACAACACAAAUAUAGUAGUACUGUAUAUAAUAUAAUGUUAUUCACCACUCGCAUACAACAGUAGUGAUGGUAACUGCUAGUAGCAGUAAAAAUAGAGUAUCAGGAAUUGAACCAUGUAAACGGAGCAGCUAGGGCACAGGGAUUUACACUGAUGGGAAUGAUUUAGUGUCAGAAAUAUCUCGCAGAUUAUCUGCUGUCAGAUAUCUUACGUGCAGAGAGUGCAAGCAGCAGCUAGAGUAGUGCACUAGCACUGUACCGAGAUGUGUUUUUUUUUCCUUUUCCAUUCCAUUCAUUGACGAUGGAUGGAUGGAUCCAUUCAUGGCGAAUACCCUUGUCUCUAGCAUGUGUCAUCUUGCUAUUGAUACGCGGUGUGGUACAUCCAUGCAUGCAUGGAUGGAGAAAAGAAAAGAAAGCAGCAGGCGACGAGGCGAGGACGACGUGUGGUGGCAGAGAGCAGUGACACCGCGCUUUAUUAGGGCAGGAGCCAUGAAGAAGCUGCAUAUGCAUGCAUGCUCGCUCAUUGCAACUAUGCAAGGCGCGGCCAUGGCCACCACCACCACCACCACACCCAGGUGGCCAUGCAGAUGCAUGCCGCAUGCUAGCGUUGGCAGGGGAGAAGGGGCCGGCCAUGGUCAUAGUGUAGCAGUGUGGCAACUGGUUCUGCCUCGGCCUCUUGCAUGCUCGCUUCAGCUGAAAGCAAGGGUAGUGUGGCUUUGGAGUAGAAACACCGGAGAGGUCCGUCUCGUCUCUCUCUAUCUCCCCCGUUUCCCUCCCCCAUGCCUCAGCUAGCGUGACAGUUGUCUCACUCCACAGUUCGUUCAUCAGAGAGAGAGAGAGAGAGAGAGAGAGUCCUGUGAUUGAUCUUCUUCUCAGUUCUCACUAUAAAUAGGGCAGGGCACUUGGGUCCAUUCCAUCUUCACUUCCUUUCCAGCACUACCUAGCUCACUCCAUCUCUGAGCUAGUGCUCUCUAACCUUCUUGCUCUCUCUCUCUCUCUCUCUCACACACACUCUCUCUCUCUCUCUCUCUCUCUCUCUCUCUCUCUCUCUCUCUCUCGCCAUGAUAUAUACAUAUUGUUCUUGCACCCUUCUUCUUCUCAAGUGGCCGCCAUUGCUGCUGCUUGGUCUUGUUUUCCUCCACAUGAAAAGAACCCAGGUAGAACUUAAUUAGAUAGCUAAGAUACAUACAUACUCCACGAACUGACGAGGAUCUGAUCGAGAGGGGAAGGAAUGAAGGGUAUGGAACAAUCCUUGAAGCUCAGGAGGGAUAGCGCCUAGGAAAACACAUAGAUUGGAGCUAGCCAUGAGGAGAAAGAGAGAGAGAGGCAGCAGAGCGAGAUGCAUGUGAAUCUCUGAAUCUGCUCAUCUCUUUCUCUUUCUCAAGGUUGGUUCUGUCUAUCAAUCUGAAGCGCUAUCUAUCCUGAGCUCCACGGCUUGUUCUUACCAAUUAAAUUGCCACACGCCCGUCGCUGCCACCGGCCGAUCGAUGAAUAACCUGAUCUUGGCGUCUGCCUCCUCUACUUGUUUUUCAUGUUGCGAUAUAUGAUGCAGGUGAGAGGUCGUAGUAGUCUCGUCUGGCAUACGGACAUGUCCUAGCAAAGCUAGCUAGCUUUGCUUCAGAUCAGGACAUCACCAGUGCAUUGCAGCAGUGUCCUGCUCCUGCUCCUGCGGCCGAGGUAUCUCCUCCUGCUGGCUCCAUGAUUACUUUACUAUAUCCGUGCAAGUGAUGAGGUGUGGUUGUGCUUAGUCUUCAUGCAUGCAAGCUUGCAAGUGAUGGGCACGACCGGGUUUAACUUGCUAUCGUACAGAGGGUGAGUAAAUGCUGACCUAACUGGAUUCAAGAGCAUGUCCACCACCUAUCUCCUGCAUGCCGCACAAUUCAUUCAUUCAUUCAUUCAAGAAUAUAUUAUUAUUAUCAAAACCAAGGAAAUAUGAGACGAUAGAGUAUGUAGUAUCCAUUAUUUGGUACCGCAUGCAUUUACAUAAUACUAGUAUAUUACUCAUGGGAUAAGGAUAUUAGUCUAUCAUUAAGAAAUAAAAAUAGGCAUAAGGAGUGCCCCCUAUGCAUACAAGAAUGAAAUAUGAUCCUGAUGCCUCGGUGCCUCCCAUGUAGUGUAGCACACAAGACCACGAGUGUAGUAUAACUGUUGUGGUAAGUCUUGGAACACCCACUUGUUGUAUGAGAAAUUGAAAUGGGCUGGUUACUCUUCUUAAAACCAUCAUAAAUAAUGUAAGCUCAAAUUAGACAACCAUUCUCAAAAUUCAAAACUAUGACAAAUGUAAGAAUUUGGCCAAAACUUUUUCGUCUCAAAAGAAAGACACCCAUUCUCAACCAACCUUUUCCGUGGUGCAUUUGUUUAGCACUGUCGAUCAUGGAAUUAUUUUUGCAUGGACUUGUUUUCAUUUGAGCAAGCGAGCCGCGUGCAGCGAAGCUCCGGCUUGCACAGUCCUACUACGUAGGAGUAGGAGUGUAGGAGUACAAGUGACCAUGCAUCACAUCGCACAAGAAUACAAGAGCGGCGAGCGGGUUUCCAGAGGCAAAAGCCUCACCACCUUUCCAGUCCGGUUGACAUGCCUUGAUGACUGCCAUUUCAGGACAUGUAGGUAGGGUAGGGGGCCCGGCGCCGGGCCGGAUCUUCUACGCCACCGGACGCCCCAUGCAGCUGCAAUGACAAGUUGACAACGACGACACACCCCUCCUGUUCCUCGCAAAAACAACAAAAACAAAAAACAAAGAAAGAAAUUAAUGUGUGUACCGUCGGCAGCACGUAGCCUGGUGGCCCUGCUUGUUCUUCUCGUGAGUGUUUUGAAUGUAUUUCUGUACUACGACUAGCACAGUACCGGAUGAUAUGAUAAUAUUAAUUAAUUGAAAUCCAAUGUUCCCUGCCCCCCAAAAUUUCAAUGUUCUGUACUCUGGCAGAGGAGCAUGCAUUUGCUCCUCCCCCUGCCGACUGCCCUUCGUUUUAUACUUAAAUUUUCUCGUACAUAUCUGAAUCGAUGCAAAAUUUAUCGUUUCCUGCGUGCGUGCUGCCCAAACCGGGGACACCGUCCUCCACGGACGGCAUUUUUUUUUAAAAAAAAAAAUGCUACGAAGUACCUCUCAAUCUCGGAUGAAACACAGAUAGCUGCACACAUUUGUUUUUCAGCAUAAAAUGAAGCCUGCAAUGCAAGCGGCAUCAUAUCGCGCGCGGGUUUAAUUAAAUUAAUCGGGUCUCGAAUGACUCAGAUCAGACUAGCUAGUCCGUGAACGCCACGGAGCAGCUACCCUACUGCUGCUAGUGCUAGGCCUCGGGAUUCUGAUACUGUACGGGUCAAAGGGGGCGCACACGUGUUACAGUGAAACUCCGGCUUCUGUUUGUUUCUGUGCGCUGAUCGAUCGGUGUACCCAGCACAGAUCUGCAAUGCUCUGAACUUGUAAUCUUGCGUGCUAGGCUUCUGUGCUGAACCAGUGAGCCUAAUACACCUCACCUGACCUGACCUGACCAGGUGCGUGUGCGUCUAAUCAGAAACCAAAAACAAAAACAGCAAACUCUUACGUCUGUGGAACCGUACUCCUAUGCAAGAUUUCUUUAAUUUGUUGAACACCGGGGAAUUGAUGACUUAGUCGUAAUGUGAUAAUUGAUCGAUGUAUGGCGCAAAAUAUGAUCCAGCACACGACUGUGUGACCCUCCAUCCGGUGAGCCAACCUGCAACCUGGGCUUUUGUGACCUGUUGUACACAAUAUGGUCCAGUAAGACAGUUUGACCCAUUGACAUAUCAUAUAAUGCAAAUAUUCUAGUACAAGAAUCAACUAGAACAACGGCAAACACAGGCGACUCUUUUCAGAACAUUGAAGCCUUCAAAAUUCAGCUAGAAAACCAAUUUUUUAUGGUAGCCAUCAUUCUAAUGAGUUGGACCAUUUGGAAGGCCAGAAAUGAGCUGAUCUUCAAUCACAACCAAGUCUCUGUUUAAGAUUGCAAAUCUUCUUUCUUCAAAGAAAUGAAGCUGGUCUCCCUAAGGGUGAAGCCAGAACUAUCUAUGCUCUGUGAUCAAUGGAUUCAAAACCUGUAAUUGAUAGCAGCCUUAGCUUCAUUUUCUUUGUGUCUUUCUUUGUUUCUUAAUUUUACGCACCUAGUGUCUCUUUUUUUAAACCUGUAAACUGCUUUAUUAUUUCUCAAUAAAUUGCCUGCGGGGGCUCCUUGCCCACUAGAUUACUUUAAAAAAAAAAGAAUCAACUAGAACAACGUCACGUACGAUCUGGUGUGGACAAUCUGUUGAUGUUUGUGUUUGCUAGAUUUUUUUUGAAUGGCAAGUAACCUCUUUUUUCUUUAAGAAGAAGAAUCUGGAGAAGCCAGGGCUCCUACAGUUAAAUUAUUAAAAUGACUAAAGUUACAAAGUUACAAAGCAGUUAUAAGGAACGGGAAAAAGAGAGGUCCAUAAAAGAGAGACGGAAAUUAAGGGACAAAGAAAGAAAUGAAAAAGAUCUGCAUUAAGCAGCUAACAAGGCUAGAGUUUGCUUUCAUGAAUCAUAACUGUCGUGCUGGUCCUGUCUCAACCUAUAAUGGAGCAGGUUAAUCUCUUUGAAGAACAUUCGGAUGCAAUCUUCUCGGUUUGAGCCAAUUCCUCUAAAGAUCAGCUCGUUUCUUGCCAUCCAACCCUCUAUAUAAGUGCUACCCUUGACUAAUUAGAAGUUGCUCUUGCAACUCAUCGUUAUCAUCACCUAUAGAGAAUAUAGUGAAGUAUUUGAAGAGACACCCAAGCCCAAAAAUGAGCUUUAAGUUUUAGCCUUGAGUAUUAGCUAAUGGUGCUCGAGCUUGAACUUUUUGAGCUAAGUGGAGAUAGUAGCUUAACCUAAGUUUUUUAGACUCCUAUGGUGCUCCAAUGUGGAGUAGAGAGGUUGUGACAAUAACUCGAGAUCAUGGGGAAAACCAAGUUGUCUCUUUGUCUUGUUUUUUUACUUGCUCUCUCUCAUGCUUGCAACCUUUUUGUGUGAGAACUAUAAUUCAUGUUAGUGUGCUUAGCAUAUAUUUCACACCUGCUAUCUAUAUGUUGGUUGAGUCAAUAGUUUGUCUUCGAAGAAAAACUAAGGACCCAAUGUGCUAUCUGCUAUAGGGGUUUAGAGGUUGCAUGGAUCAAGAUUGUCACCUUAGUUUGUUAGAGCCAAUUCACCCUCUCUCGGUCAUUACAACAACUUCGGUAUGUGAAUUAUUGUACAUGUUGUGAUAGUUUGAGAAUGGAUCAUCCACUUUUUACCGUCAUGAAUGUCAUCGGGAGAAAUGUGGCAUGGGUUGAUUCAUGGAUCCUACAUAAUGAGUUGGAAAUGGUCUUUCAUAAAUUUCAAAACUGCGCCAGACCAAUUCGCUGAGGUUAUGUGCAGGAGUACACCAUACCCUCCAUUUGUGUUCAUUGACCCAAAUUAAACUAAAACACUAAUUUAAAACCAAACCAAACUGCAGCUACUACCACUAGUAGAAAAGAGUACAACGCCGACGUCUCUUUUUUAUACUACAGGCGGUUGUAGUUAUCACGCGCCUGUGGUGUAAAAAGAGCGGUGUCAAAACUACGAACCGUCUGUGAAGAUGCAUUUUCACAGGCGGUUUUCCUAACAGAACCGCCAGUAGAAAUCAUGCAUUUCUACAGGCGGUUGUCCUAAGGAACCGCCACUAAAAAUCAUAUUUCUACAGGCGGUUUUUCUAACAAAAUCGCCUGUAGAAAUCAUGUAUUUCUACAGGCGGUUCUCCUAAGAAACUGCCUGUACAAAUCAUAUUUCUACAGGCGGUUUGUUAAGAAAAUCGUCUGUAGAAAUAAUUUGAAAUUAAAUUUUUUGAGUUUUUCAAAUGAUCUUGUUUGAAAAAACUGUCAACAUGAAAGUUGUAGAUCUCGAAAAGUUAUGAAACUUUGUAGUUGAUAAUUUUUUCAUUUGACAUCAUCUUGUCGUCGAAAACUACGUUUGAAUUUUUUAAAUUUGAAAUUCAAAUUUUGUAAAUGACCUCAGAUGGAAAAACUUCCAAUAUAAAAGUUGUAGAUCUUAAAAAGUUAUGAAACUUUGUAGUUGACAACUUUUCCAUUGGAAUCCGUUUAGGGCCUCAAAUAAUCAAUAUAUGCUCGGUUUGGGAUAAUAUGUGGGGAACUAAACUCUUAUAUAGACACAAGUGAGUGAUAGGUGGAGCGGUAGAGGAGGCUACGCGCAAGGGCAAGAUCGCAGGUUCGAAUCACACCGGCCGCGAAACACGCGAUUUUACACGAAAAAAAAGCCAGUAGAAAGCGCGACUUGCGGGCGAAUAGCCGAUGAUCCUUCCUUAUAUUAAAAUCUUUUUUUCCUAUUUUUAAAAACCGAUUUCCUAUUUUUUGGAAAAAUAUUUCUACAGGCGGUUGGCAUAACUGAACCGCCAGUAGAAAUGCAUUUCCAAAGGCGGUUUUUAGUUACCGCCUGUAGAAAUAUCCCAUUUCUACUAGCCUCCAGCGCAGGCGGUGCUGAAAAACGCCAGUAGAAAUGGGUUUUCAGCCGCAUGCGUCUGUACUAGUGUACUCAGACCAGCUUGGAUCCAUUUCAAACCUGUUUUCUAACUUCUUAUCACGCUUAUGCCUUGUUUUCUAACUGCACACCUACUAGUCUCAUGGUUCAUGUUGUUCCUAAGUAGCUUAAAUCUGUCCCAACAACAGUAGAUUAAUAUAACUUUCCAACAGGAUACUUUACUCGGCUAGACUGUUUCUAGAUAAUUAACCUCGCCUCGCAAAUAGACAUUUCAAGGAAGACCUUGAUGGCAUCGCAAGUUUGUAACCAUUGAAUUGAUGCUACUUUCUGAAUAGCUAAGGUGCGUUACUGUAGGUGCUUGAUGCUUCAGAAGCAACAAGCAUUUCCUCCCAGCUUUUGUUUCUUCAAUGAAAUGCACAAGACGAUUUGUUAACUAGCUGGGUUCUCAAUGGAGCCCGGUGGUAGAUGGGUCUGGUUCGUGGUUCCUUUUAGCAUAUAGUAAGGUAUUGUUUAGUUUACCUCAAAAUUAAAAUUUUUUCAAGAUUCCUCUAUGAUAUUAAAUUUUGCGUCAUAUGUAUGGAGCAUUAAAUAUAGUUAAAAAUAGAAAAUAAUUAUACAGUUUAUCUUUAAAUCACGAGAUAAUUUUUUGAAUCUAGUUAGUCUAUAAUUAGACAAUAUUUAUUAUAAACAAACGAAAGUGCUACAGCUUUCGGCAAUUGUACAAGGCCUAAGUCGAAGGGUAAAGCACUCAGACCCAAACAACGAGUCGUUGUAGAAGUUGCCUGUUUUUAUUUAGCGCCGCCAGAGCGCAGAUUACACCAGGUAAUCAUCUGUCAUGCUACUCUGAAGUCUGAACUUUGUAAUUUUUUAUUUUCUGAAAACAGGCAGGAGUGAACAGAUUCUCCAGUCCUCCUAUCCAGGCCUAUCCGAAACGUAUCAAUCAAUCAAUUUUAUAAUAACGAAACUGCUGCAUUUUUUAUCUUAUCUUAUCAACACAAACGCGCGUGGAAGAGAAAAUCGUGCGUCGGAAUGGGAACGUGCACUAGGCUGCCGCCGCCGCCCGCCGCCUGCCGUCAGUUCCGCGACAGGACGGCGGCGUACAGGCCGUGCGCCGCGAAGGCGAGGCCGAAGAGGAGGAUGGCCCAGUCGGCGGCGCGCUGCGCGGCGCCCGCGGCGUGGCCCACGACGCGGAGGUGGAACAGCGCGGGCAGCACGAAGGAGAGCAGCGCGCACACCGUGCUCCCCACGAAGGACGCGAACGACCCGAACGCCGGCACGAAGCACGCGAUCGCCGACAGCGCCACCAGCACCGCUACGCGGCUCGCGUGCAGGGCCGCCCGCUCCACGGCGCCGCCGCGCUUCCGCAGCCACCCGCCCGGCGCCAGCAGCCGCGCCUCCACGAUCUCGUGGAUCGGGUGCAUCAUCACCGGGAACGUCAGUGCCAGCGCGAUGCACAGCACAACCUGCACGCAUGGAAAGCAGCCGUUUUUUAGCCUCUGGUUUCGUUUCACCGAUGGCGAUGCGGCCGGCCGGCCGUGUUGUUCGUGUUUCCUGACUGACCUUGACGGCGGCGGUGGACCAGGUGCUGGGGAGGUUGAGCGUGAUGAUGUCCUUGGUGGCGUCGCCAUAGGCGAGGUAGCCGCAGGCGCCGAAGCAGACGUACACGGCGGUGACGCCGGCGAUGGCCUGGAGGAGCACGGAGCGGAACCUGCUCCGGUCGGCCAUGGACGCCUCGAGUGCCAGCGUCAUGCAGAAGCCCUCGAAGCAGAAGACGGCGAAUCCGGCUGCGAACGCGACGCCCCAGAGCCCCUCGACCGCGGCGCGGCCCUGGAACGGCUGCUCGCCGCGCGCGGCCAGGAGCUGGAGGUCCUGCUUCACCACGGUGGCCACGGCAAGCACGGUGCACGCGUCGGCGAGGAUGCUGAACUGCCCGAGCGACGACAGCGAGCGGACCAGCGACAGCGCCGCCUGGACGGGCAGCAGCAGCGCGAGGACCACGGUGGCCGGCGUCAGCGGGCCGUGCCCGUCCUCGGCGGCGAACACGGACGACACGUUCUGGCCGAUGAACACUAGGUACGCCACGGUGCCGCCCGUCUGCGACAGGAUGAUGGUGGCCUCGGUGAAGUGCCUGCCGAUCCGGCCGAAGCACCUCUCGCCCAGGUCGCCGUAGGUGUAGUUGCAGCAACGCUGGUGCUGCUCGCCGUCCUCCUCGGUCUCUUGCUCUCGCAGCUUGUCUCUGCAUUCCAGCUUCAUUUGGUGGAUGGAUGAAGCUUGGAAUCAAUCAGUAAGCUUAGAUCUGGAGCAAAGAUGAAUCGAACACAGGUACUGUACUGACCAGCAGGAGCAUGCAGUAGAAGGUGGCGGCACCGGCGCCAGCGACGCCGAGAGCGCCGGCGAGCCAGCCGGCGGUGCGGAAGGCGAAGGGCAGGCCGAGCACGCCGGUGCCGACGAUGGAGACGACGAUGUUGCCGAUGGUCUGCGCCGGCGUGGCGCCCCUCCGCGCCUCCUCUAGCAGCGGCGCCUUCGCCUCCGCCGCCAUCGGCCCCCGGCAAACCAACCAAUGCCGUCUCUAGGAGGGGAGAAGGAAGCCUACCUCGAGCAACGAAGGAGGGCUUAAACCAGCGUCGCCGUCGACGUCGACGUCGAUGCGUCUCUUUCCGCGAUUCCUCUCUUUCCUAUUCGUGCUCUUGGAUCGACGCGCGCGGAGAUGAGGAUGAAUGGAUCGGAUGAUCCGGUCAUGUCAUCAUGAGAUGAGAUGGUGUGGGCGUGGUGGGCGAGUACAGUGGCACGCAUCCAGCGCUGUGCCAGGUGCGCGCGCGUGUUCUUGGCGGGGAACGAACACGAGGAAUUGGCACACGUGGCUCACUGGAUUUUGGCCACCAUUUUUUUUUAUUGGAUCCUGGAUUGGUUUGGCCCCGGCGGAUCGGGUGGUUGGCCGGAUCGUCGCCGGCGACCGUCGGGUUGUCGCGGUGGGGCUCAGGGAUCGAUCUGGAGGCGUCGAGUGGCUGACGAGAGGAGCAGCCGCGUGUAGCUAGCACGAUCGUUUGUCGCCGUAAUCUCAUCGGCAGAGAAGAAUCAUGUAAUGGCGAGUCAUGGAAGAGCGGACCAAUGAUUAAGCACAAUCCUUCUGUGUAUUGUUUUCCUUUCGGAUGGAGAAAAUCUUUUUCUACGGUAGUCCGUUACUACGGUAAGUACAUUUUGCUGCUAACUAGGCUUUUGGAACCGGAGGCUCGUUUUUCCAAACACAGUCCCUGCUGGCGACAUACCUUGCUAGAGGCAAUAGGGGCAACCAAACAUGCCCUUUGACAAAUCUAGCUUAGGAACCAAAUGUAUUGUUAUUUCUAUUUGGAAUUUAAAAGCAUUCUCUAUGUGCACUGUUACUUCAAACUAAGAACUAGCUAACACUGCUACAAAUGAGGCAUUGGUCGAUGUCCAAAAUCGCCAAAAACCUCGGCCUUUUUGCGGCCCGAGGUUAAAGGCCUCUUUAACACCGGUUCGUAACACGAACCAGUGCUAAAGGGUCCUACCCAACGGCUAUCGGGGCAGAGACCCAUUAGCACCGGUUCGUGUUACCAACCGGUGCUAAAGGGUCCCUUUUAGCACCGGCCAGUGCCUUGAGCCGAGGCAAAUCCUUUAGCACCGGUUUUUGCCCUGAACCGAUGCUAAAGGUCCGGUUUAUAGGUCGGCUACCUCCUCCCCUCUUACCAUUUGAAACCGAGAGCAUCAUUGUUGUUCUUGAAGCUUCUUCUUGCUUGGUCUUCCUUUGUUUUUCAUCUCCGAUGUCCAUCGUUGAUCUUCUUCGACUCCGUCAUCGUCUCUUCGUGCUUAGAGGUGACUAACUGCAUCCUUUCUUGUCUUUGCCAUGUUGUUUUUGGCUUGUGAUUUUCCCAUUAUUUUGAGCUCAAAUCCACUUUGUUAUUUUCAAUCAUCCACUUUGUUAUUUUGAAUCAUUCACUUGAAGUUGUACUAGCUAGCAAACUUUCGCUAACUUUUAGCCUUCUUAUUGUCGUGGUCGUGAAUAUUUUUUAUAUAUAUAUUGUACAGUGGUGUUUAAGACAAGAAGGGGGGAACAACCUAUGUGCAUAUUACGUGUGCAAAUUCAUGAUGGCACAAGUCAAUCGAACACCCACAGAGACGCUCAGAGUAUGUUACAUGUCUAUUUUCAUUAUCUACUGAAUUAUAUUGAAUAACUUAUAUAACUAAUACCUUUUUUAUUUAUUUCAAAUUAAAGACGGAAUGGUUGAGGGAAAAGGUCAUGCAAAAAGACCGAAUCAAAGCUAUCCAAGAGACGAUAGCAGGAUUUCUCCGCGAGCAAGUGAUCAAUCCAAACGGUGAGUUUCACUUCAACGGCAACGAAACUCUUAUUCCAAACAAUAAUGAUCAUUUAUAUUGGUUUUAGACAUUGGGAGAAAAAACUCUAUGUAUAUAUGUGUUACGAAUUUUGUACUUAUAAAACUAUAUAUAUAUAUAUAUAUAUAUAUAUAUAUAUAUAUAUAUAUAUAUAUAUAUAUAUAUAGCUUUUUACAUAUCUAUUUAAUUUUUUAUGUGGCCUAUUCAUUUUAUUAUAGGCAAAGCUUAAUUAUAAAGCUAAGCCUAUAAUUUUUAUUUAUAUAUGCUUAAUAUGCUUGUAAUAUAUAUAUUAGUAUAUCAACAUAAAAUAUGUAUUGAAAAACCUAUUAUUAUAUAAAAACAAUAAACAAAACCGAAGAAAUGAAUCGAAAAAAACCCCUUUAACACCGGUUGGUAAUACCAACCGGUGUUAAAGGGUCGUGCAACGUGGCAACUUUGACAGGACUCUUUAACACCGGUUGGUAUUACGAACCGGUGUUAAAGGGGGGGCUUUAGCCCCGGUUCCCGAAACCGAGACUAAAGGGUGGGCCUUUAGUUCUAGAAGGGCAGCACCGGCUCAGAAACCGAGGCAACAUGCCGUUCCCGACCGGUGCUAAUAACCGAACAUACUGUAAUUGUCCAAGCCCAGCGACACGCCUAGGCAUCAAAGCACAGUCCCUGCUGGCGACAAGCCUUGCUAGAGGCAAUACGGGUAACUAAACAUGACAAACCUAGCCUAGGAAACAAAUACAAUGUAUUGUCAUUUUUAUUUGGAAUUUGAAAAGUGUUCGCAUUAGUGUAAUGUUACUCCGAACUAAGAAUAAUAGUUUGAGUUAAAACGAGCUAGUGAUUAAAAGAAAGUCUAUUUUUUUCAUCCUAUCUGUAUCCAUGUCUCAACUUUUCCUCCCUUAUCCCUGUGCUCAUGUGUGGACUAGGGGCAAAUGCAACUUGUACCAUGAAAACAGGUACCUAUUACUCCAGUAUAUAUCAAACAACAUCUAUAUAUUUUAAUUGUAGCUAGUUAGUAAUGAUUAGUGUAGCUCAAACAUGUCCUAAAAUUCGUAUAAAUUUUAAUUUUGUAAGGCACGCGUCUCAGUUUUCAUACUCCUUACUAGCGCAUAAACUUGCCAUGCCAUGGCAUGAUGAUGAGAUUGAAGCGGCCAAGAAAAAAAAGCACGACAUGUGAGAUAUUAUUUUUUGUAAUAAAAAGCUAAGCACACAUGUAGUGUGCUCAUCGUCUAUCGCCCGCGUCCAGAACCUGCCUAAUACGUUCGCAAAGAUUACCGCAAAGUUAAGAUGGUGGCUUACCGCGCUUGCCGCGCGGUGCUUUCCGUGUCCAGAAACUUGCUUAUGAACAGGUUUAAUCACCUUUUGCGUAACCAAUAUGGUACAAAAAUAUUUCACUUAACUCUCGUGCUCUACCUAAUCUUGUCGAAAUAUUUUUUCUCUCUCUCUCCAAAAGUCCAACGCGACGCGAGUGCCGCAAGCCUGCAAUGAACAUAUGGGCUUAGGAUGGUCUCAUGGGCAUGGCAUAUGGGCUGAAGGCCUAGGAGGCUACGAAACAGGCCCAACGGCCCGAUUAACAGUUCUCGUUUUCAGCACGUGUGGAUCCUGCAGUUCAAAGUAAACCUCACACACACACAAAAAAACCUUCGAUGUGAAGGUGAAGCGCACCCGUGUGUGCAUGUGCCUUUUUUUUUUGAUAAAUGCGUGUGCGUAUUGCCCUGUUUUAUUCCUGUUGUGCCUAAUUGACCUCUAACAAAAUGAAAAGAGCACAAGAUGUGCAAGAGAAGCCGUGGAUCGUGCAUGAUCGUUCUCUGAGCGCGGGAGUUUGCAGCAGAUUCUAGGAUGACUGAAUGACUCAUCAGGGGGACCUCAAGAAAGACGCAUUGUUGAUGUCAUGUUCGGUACUUCGGUGACGACCUUUGUCAGUUAAAUUACGCAUGUUUGUAAAUUUUGAUUACAUUAGGCCUUGAUUGAGAGGAUUUCUCCUCACAAAAAAGCCAUGACUUAUAAGGAAUAUUCCGUACUAUAGUAAAGAAUUGUUUUUCCUCGUUUAAAAAAAAGAUGAACUAAAAGCCGAUAAAACUAGUAUUUCCGACUUCAUUAGCUCCAACUUUCUCGAGGAGGCAGAGCCCCCCCAAAAAACCCUACCACAUUUUUUUUCUUCUGCAAUCAUUUUGUGAAGCAUAGAAUCACUAUUUAUUGCAGAUCUAUUGUGAAAUUAUUAAUACUAAGCCAUCUGAAAAAACCCGUAUAAUGCAUUUGUGCUCUUUUUCAUUUAGCGCCAGAAGCAAAAUAGUUUUUUUUGUACUACUUAACUAUGUUACCUCUAUAAACCAAACAAAACUCAAAUAUGGGUCAAGUAGCUAAGUUCGACCAAAAAAGGGCCAGGAAACUAAGAGAGACUUUUUUAAUGCAAGGAAAUCAUUCUCUCUUGCUCAUAACAUACUUUUUUAGGGCUUGUAUAUGGGAUGCAAGGCCCACUGGCCAAGACGAGACCAUACAACACUUCUUUGUUUGGUUAUUUGUAUUGCUCUAACCAAGCUAGGUUGUUGAUUGGUUGCACGAACUUUUGAUCCAUUUUAGAGACAACACAUAAACUGAAAGUAGCCAAGUUGCAUUCUGACAGUUAGCCCCACAAGAAAUGGAUUACAGUCUCAUUUUUGCAGAGCGAGGCGAUGAGAGAAUCUUGUAUAUGAGUUCAACCAGCCCCAAGUUGAUAUAUAGGCGUUCGUACAAUACUUUUGUGCAUCCCAUGGGUCAGCUAAGGACCUAUAUACAAGCAACUAAACAUGUUCUAACUCUAUGGAUGCAUGCAUGUAACUCUAUCUCUAUGAGAAUCACUAAACGAUUCAGAUGAGAGAUCUUGAAAUUGACAAAGCCAUCUCAAAUCACCUCGCUAUCGACUAGUACGUUGUUUACCCCUAAGAAAAAUAUCGUCAAAUCCUAAUAUUAGCCGAGAAAAAUACAAACAUCACUUUGUGCUUAGAAUUUCAUAGGGCAUCAACUCAUGAUCCAUGUGUUGGAUUAAGUUAAUGUGAGUGAAAAAAAAAAGAUACGAAGAAAACAUGAACGAAACAGAGAGAGGUAAAAAUGAGACGAAAGAAACAGAGAGGGGGGAAAAUCCUACCGGAGACUACAAAGAAUUAUUAAUAAAAAGCUAAGCACACUUGUAGAUGAGGAAAAAAACAACCGGAGAUUAGAAGAAUCAUUAAAAAAGCUAAGCACACAUGUAGUGUGCUCUUGUUCACCUGUGGUAAGAGACACAAAUAUAGGAGACCAAUCAUCAAUCGGUUCAAUACAAUCCAUAUAGGUAGAUAGCUAACCACGCUUACCGCGUGGUGCUACCCGUGUCCAGGAACCGAGUUAUGAACUGCUUUGCUCUUGUUUGCGUAAUCAGUAUGGCACAACUGUACAAGAGAAAGUCGAAGUAUUUUUCCAAAAUACUCAUAUAUAUUGUGUAAAUAUACGCGCGAGCGCAUGCUUCCAUAUACACAUGGGCUUUAGAGUGACAGGCCUAGGAUACGGCCCGCGUCGCGUAACAACCAGCCACGACCCGAGUAACUCGACGGGCCCGCGCGCACCAGCAAGUCCAGCACCAGUGCACCACAGCUCCCCACUAUCGUGAACUGAUGAUAGAUGAGAUGGUUAGGCUCACUGUACUGUACGCUUAAAUCUUCAACUUGCUAUGGGUGUUUAUAUAUUUUUUAGAUUUAUUUCGAGAUUCAAGACGAUAUGCUUUUCGUGGUGGCGACGUCUCCAUCGACAACAAGACGUAUGUGGUGACUUCGUAAAUCUUAAAACCUAUUGGCUCAGUCCUUCGAUGAUGUUUAUAGGAAUAUGGGUUGCCUAUAUAUGUUCAGAGGGAUGAGUAUGUAUAUGUAUUGUGAGUGUGUGUUGUGUCGGUGUAAUUCAAAAAAAAACACUCAUCAGACCCGCGUGGCCGCACUUAUAUCACACAUCCACCCCCCUCCCCUAUCGCACACCCGUGCAUUCUUCCUAUAAUUCCCAACCUAGUAUGAUCGUCUCUAAGCUACAUCAACAUUUACUUUUAGAGGAACAUUUUCUAUACUGGAGUAAAUCCGAACCUAGCAUGACUGUCUCUAAGCUACAUCAACAUUUACUUUUAGAGGAACAUUUGCCUUUCAAAUGACAUUCCAUAAGUGAUCGUCUUUCAUCAGCCGGGUGUUUGGUAAUCACCUAACAUGUAUUUAGGCCUUGUUUACUUCCACCAAAAAAUCCAAAAUUUUUCAAGAUUCCCCGUCACAUCGAAUCUUUAGACGCAUGCAUGAAGUAUUAAAUAUAGACGAAAAUAAAAACGAAUUUCACAGUUUGAUCGGAAUUGACGAGACGAAUCUUUUGAGCCUAGUUAGUCUAUAGUUGAACAAUAAUUACCACAAACAAACGAAAGUGCUACAGUGUCGCAAAAAUUUUUCUUCAGAAACUAAACAAGGCCUUAGAUUGGUGCAUAUUCCUAACUGGUGGAUGAUGAUGAGGGUCCAUGGAUGAAUAGUGUUUGUUUGGCGGUCGACUUAGACAAGGACAUCCACCAGAGAAGAAUAUUCUCUAUAAAUGAUAAAUACUAGAUAAACUUGCCUAUAAUAAUAUGUGGAACAAGCUUGACACAUGUGUUCUACUUUGCUUUUCAAACUGUAAGUCGUUUUGAGUUUUCUAGAUCGAUUGCUUUUAAUAUGUAUUUAGACAUAAUAUAUAUCUAGAUGCAUAUCAAAAGCAAUAAGAUGUAUUUGGAAAAAAAAAGCCGAAACAAAUUAUAAUUUGGUAUGGAGGAAGUAAUAUUUAUCAUUAGUGAAUACAUUAAGGCUUAUUAAUAUGUUGAGAAUUUUUAUAAUGGUUGGAGAGGCGAUGAGAAGUGAUUAAUGUGUCUAUGGUCGGUGGGUCCAGAACAUAAAAAGCGAUAAGAGGCGAUGAGAGCAAGGCGAUGAUAAGCGAUUCAUGUGUCUAUGAUCGAUGGACCAUAUGUGUCACGUUGCCUCCUAUCGCCUUUGAAAUUGAGGGAAUUAGGAUCCUCAAAUAGAGAAGCGGUAAUUCCUUUUUCGUAGUUCUUUUUUUUUAAUAAAGGGUAAAAGGGUAAAUGUAUAAUUUAAAAAAUGUUUUUGAGUACUAUAGGAGGUAUAAUUCAAGUAGUAUAGUUAGAUGUAUUUUUUUUUGUUAGGGUUCAUUGAACUUGCUGUUCUUGCGCUUCUCGUGGUACCUCUACACCCUCGCCUCCCGCUCUGCCGCCGCGGCGACCACAGUGGCGGUGCCAGCGGCGCCCGGAACAGCGACGACAGCGGCCACGGCAUCCAUCGGCGACCACGUGGCCGUCCAUGCGGCGGCUUGUAGGCCACCGGGCUGCGCCCACAGCGGUGCAGCGCCGUGGUGGACGGGCGCCAUGCCGUCCGCCAUGUAGCCGCCGUACCCCGUGACAUAGGCCGCGGCGAGGUCGACGUCGGUCGGAUAGCAGGUCGAACAGGCUCAUCCAACCCUCCGCGCCGCUGUUGCUGGUGGUGAAGCUGGCCAACGAGCUGCCGUUCUGGGGGCUACCUGUGCCCUGUCCCUGCGCGUGCGCGGGCGCCGCCGCUGCCCAUGACGACGUCAUGUCGAUGCCAUCGGGCGCGAACAGGUUGUUGUACACACCGGACGCCGCCGCCAUGGUGGCGGCCAUGGAAAGAGGCACGCACCAUGACUGCAUCCGCGCGCUCCGUGGCUAUCGCUCUGUGGACGUCGUGUUUGAGGGCGAGUGGCUCGCCGUCAUCGACAAGCCUGCUGGCGUGUACUGCAACGCCCUCCUCACCUCCUUCCCUUGCCCUGCCGUCUCAGGAGAAGACUGAACAUACAAAGAAUCUGAUUUUAGGUGACAAUGGCACUGCUACAGUUUGCAAAAUGUGAUUCUACAUAGCUCAUUGCUUGUGAUUUCGUAUGUUGGUCAUCCGGUGUCAGUGAUAUUGAUGAUUUGGAUGAUGAAAUUGAUAAAUUUUAGGUAGUUUGUGAUCUGUGUGCAAUAGAACGUGUUGUCUUAUGUAUUUCUUUCUGUCAAUGCUUGCUUUGGUUUAGAUUUUAGGUGGAAUGAAAUAUAUAUGGCCAACAAGCAGAUAUACAAGUUAAUUCUGUACUAUAUCAUCGUUUUAUAUGAUGAUGUGUAUGAUUCAUCAAUUACUUAAUUCUUGAAGAAGAAAAGGAUAUGUGGAUUGGAAUCAGGGAUGACCUUGCUUUAGAGCAGACUGAUCCAAGCUAGGAUGGAUAUCCGGCAGAAAGCAGUUCAGAGUUGGCAUAUUUCCUUUAUUACCACUUGGGCACUUUUACUGAUUGCAAAAGCUAUCUGUAUAUUUAUCUCCUCCCACAUCGAUCAAAUCAGUUAUAUAUAUAAGUAAUUACUGCCAAUUCAUUGAUGCUUUUUAGUUAACGAAUACCACUGAACUGGGACAACAUUGAUUCUGCUUGGUGUAUUGGCUGCUAGUGCUAGAUUAACUGACAUCUGAAACUAUGAAUGUGGUGAAUAUAUUGGAUUUUCUUUUUCCUUGAGAAGCUUAGAUAUAAUUGCAAUGUUCGUGAAUCAUCAUUAGUUUUUGCCAGAAAAGGCCCAUGGCUUUGUCCUGAUUUAUCUAUGACAGCCCCAGUAAAUAACUUAUGAAAACCGUGCUCUGCUACGAGAGCAAAGAAGGCUAUUGCUAACACCAUACACUCAUUCAGUUCCGGUGUGUAUAGUACAAAGCAUUCAACCAGAAAUUAAGCGUGCACCAAGUCCACCCACUUUCACGAACAAAAACUUACAGAUUUUAUAGCACUAGUAAAGACUCAAUGUGUGACACAAUAUAUUGGUAACGAGGUUCUUAAAGCGAGAUAUUUCCCCAACUCAAAUAUUCUACAAUGUAAGGCUCGAGCUGGAAUCUCAUAUACAUGGAGGAGCAUAAUUGAUGGGCAGCUCCAGCCUCCCCGCGCCGCCCUAGGCUGGAUCGAGGCUAGGCGGCCGCCUCCUCGUCGCCCUAGGCCGGACGAGGGCAGCUGUGGGGUCAUCGCCCCUGUGCACGCACGAAGGCAGCCAUCGCCCUGCCCUAGCCUCUGGACCUCUCCCUCUGGGGCUCGAUCUGGAGUGCGAGGAUGGGGAGAAGGGAGAAAGAGGCGUAGGAGGGGGCGAUGGUAUCUGUAGGAGGAG
This 24170-nucleotide long non-coding RNA is filed under the name Sorghum bicolor (sorghum). Its description in RNAcentral is "long non-coding RNA (SBIC_LNC000051)". The record is from RNAcentral. Lineage: Eukaryota; Viridiplantae; Streptophyta; Magnoliopsida; Poales; Poaceae.